UGAGGUGAAACGUCUUCAAGCAACUCAAAGAAGUCCAGACGCUUUUCUUUGCAAAUUCCUUUGACUACGAUGACCUGGAUGACUGAGAACAUUCACAGACUCUUAAUAGGGUAGUUUUGACUAUAUGAAUAUAUAUCAUGAAUAUAUGUGAUACAAGAAAACUUGAUUUGGUGUUAGUUGUGUUUAAUAUGCAAAGUUUGUUCAGCAUGUGGCACAGCUGGAUGCUCAUUAUAUCUCCUAUUUUUAUUAAUUAUCUGCACAUUUUUCUUUUUGACACUGAGGAAUGAAACUCCAACUUGACUCACUGGCAGAGGUUUGCAACUUUAUAUGCAGUUAUUCAAACCAAUCCAGCCCUUUCCCCUAAAAAAGAGUUUCAUACCGGAUAAGCUGACAGCAUCCUUCAGAGGAGCCAAUAUCCUUCCUUUUCAAUGUCAAUGGAUCUUGUGUCACAGGGAGCCCCCUGCUGGUGUUAGUGUAACAUUGAAUACAGUGUUUAUGGGGCAAUAUCUGAAAUAAGUGUAUUUAAAAUAAAUGCAGACUUCAGAUUACAUCACUCAA
Molecule: long non-coding RNA, 558 nt
Organism: Oreochromis aureus
Lineage: Eukaryota; Metazoa; Chordata; Actinopteri; Cichliformes; Cichlidae
Exons: 2
Source: RefSeq, a predicted model, not a curated record